This 468-nucleotide ribosomal RNA is filed under the name uncultured bacterium. Its description in RNAcentral is "partial 16S ribosomal RNA". It matches the Rfam family "Bacterial small subunit ribosomal RNA", at positions 28 to 507 of the family's 1533-position model. The record is from RNAcentral.
GACGAACGCUGGCGGCGUGCUUAACACAUGCAAGUCGAACGGGAAGGCCCUGCUUAUGUGGGGAGCUCGAGUGGCGAACGGGUGAGUAACACGUGUGUAACCUGCCCUUGACUUUGGGAUAACUUCAGGAAACAGAGGCUAAUACCGGAUAGGAGCUCCUGCUGAAUGGUGGGGGUUGGAAAGUUUCGACGGUUGGGGAUGGACUCGCGGCGUAUCCGCUUGUUGGGGGGGUAGUGGCUUAGCAUGGCUUUGACGGGUAGCAGGCCUGGUAGGGUGACCGGCCACAUUGGGACUGGGAUACGGCCCAGACUCCUACGGGAGGGAGCAGUGGGGAAUAGUGCACUAUGGGCGGAAGCCUGAUGCAGCAACGCCGCGUGCGGUAUGACGUCCUUCGGUUUGUAUUCCGCUUUCGCCUGUGACGAAGCGUGAGUGACGGUAAUGGGUAAAGAAGCACCGGCUAACUACGUG